Molecule: long non-coding RNA, 373 nt
Filed under: Gallus gallus (chicken)
Lineage: Eukaryota; Metazoa; Chordata; Aves; Galliformes; Phasianidae
Description: lncRNA (ENSGALG00010026872.1)
Source: RNAcentral
UUGGUCAACCUAGGCAUUUGACUUUUAAGAAGGUUAAAGGAGACAAAGAUCUCAGAGGUAAAUUUUGGUGAUAUGACAGUAGAGGUUGAACCUUCCCACCAGUAUUCCAUUACAUUUCAUUGCUGUGUGACAGAUGGCACGGGAGGGGCACUCUGACAAAAUGGCACCUGACAUGGAAGUGUAGAUGAAGUAAAGGAAAUAUGAUAAAGUUUCCAAAGGAAGUGGAAAAACCCAAACUACAAGCAACAGUCAGACUUUGACGGAAUAAAUGACUUCUUCCGGAAGAUGCAGAGACAAAGGGGAAACAAAAAACAAACAAACAAACAAACAAAAAACACUGGUAAUACUCCUCCCCCAUCAAAACACAAGCGAC